Molecule: long non-coding RNA, 3513 nt
Filed under: Musa acuminata (dwarf banana)
Lineage: Eukaryota; Viridiplantae; Streptophyta; Magnoliopsida; Zingiberales; Musaceae
Description: long non-coding RNA (MACU_LNC008322)
Source: RNAcentral
CUGCCCCGCAUGCCAUCACUCUUCCGUUGUGAACGGAGUUUGACUCGUCUGUUCAGUCGCUAUUUAUUGUAUUUGGUAUUACCUGUAAAGUGAACCUUGCAUAAGGAUAUCCCAGCUCGAAAUACAUGUUAGUAUCAAAAGCCAGUUUGGACAAUAAGGUCUUGCAGAGCUUAUGGCUAUCUACUUUCGAAUGGAACUGCAGAAGUAUAGCAGGGGAACGUUUAGCUUAUUAGGAAAAGAACCUCCAUUAGGUCGCCAGGUCCCUACAACACAGCAGUUAUAAAGACAUAGAGCAAGCACAAGCACGCAGGAUACUAACAUUCCAUUUGUACAGCAUUCUCAGUAUUUCUCAAAUACGAGCUAGAAUUAGCUAGAAAGUCGUAUACAUUUGAGAGUAUUAGUUAGAAACCUUUAACCAAAUAGAGCACCAAGCCUGCUUCCACUUCUUUUUCUCCUGGGCCGGCCUUUACCAAACCCCAAAAGUCCUAAGGCGACUUCCUUCACUAAGAAACCGAUGCUAAAAGCGCUAAUCUAUAGUCCGGGCGCUUCACAGCUCCAAAAUCCCUUUGGAAUCGCUUCGAAAAGUGCACUCUAAGUCUCCUUCGUAUGACAAGUAAGGCCCCUGCCCUUCUUUCCUCUAUUGAACUAGGCCGAAUCCCCAACGUUGUUAGAAAAGGAUCCGCCCAAUAUCUUCAAAAGCGGCUGCUACUUCGUCCCCUUCGUUGCCUGCUUCAAUCAAUCGUAUUUAUGAUCGUGAAAACGGAAACUGACGUUGGCUAAUGCCCGUGCCCUACCAAGUAUAGGAAAUAAGGUAGUACGUACAUGGGGAUCCCAAAUGACAAGAAAGAGUAUAUAAGGGUAGUACAAGAUAGUCAAGAAUACGAGGUAUCAUCUAGUCUUUAUUGACCGGACUAGUCUCAUCCCAUCUGGGCUGUUUGGAUGACAUAUCGAAAGGGUAGGAUUCCGUUCCCGAGGGGGUGAGGCUGCCUUGGUACGGUGAGUUGCUAGCUAUGGACCAAAGCGAGAACGAAAGCAACAGCCACGGAAACUAUAUCUCUUGCUCACUUACUUGCUGAUUGAUCUGAGAAUGUGUGAACUCAAUUGACUGGCAGCAUAGCCUUAUAGACGAAAGGAGGCAGAAGGAAGUGUUAACCAAUCUCCUAUCCAUUUAGCAGCAUGUGGGAGUUUCUUUGAACUAAGGCCCUUCUUUCUUGCUACGUUGCUUGUCGGAUCAGUUGAUUCAUUCGGCUUGAACUAGCUAGGACAGGCUUCCUGGCAGGAUGGAUUCACCGCUAAAGAAGUGAGUGCUAAUUUCUCCUUUCAGUUGUGUGAAAGCAUCUUGAUUCAGAAAAAAGAGAUUUCUCUGGGACCCUAGGUUACAGCCAGUUAAUGCUUCUAUGUAACAAAGAUCGGAUAGCCAAACUAGUGAGAUUUGGACUACAAAUACAUAAACUAGUCAUCAAUAUGGGAUUUGAGUUCCGAAUAAGAAAUGGAAGGGACCCGUCUGAGGCCUCCAUCCAUGACCAAAGACCGGCCCAGAAUGUCACAUGAAGAUUAUUAACAUCUCGGGUUGAAAAAACACCACUGCCGACGCUCUUAAAAGAUCGCCAGCCUGACAUUCCAGGAAUCCACCCCUCACUUUAUUGUCUUGUCCCUUUCUUCGAUCUCUGGGGAUCCGAUUCCGCAUGAUUAGCUCCUUCGUUUGAGCCUGAUUUGCCAUGAGCUUGAGCCGUGAGAUAAGACGAUUCUGCAGAUGUAGGCUCCUUUAUUCAGUCCUAUUAGCCGGUCUCUAGCCUGAGGUCCCAGCCCUACCUUUCUGCCGUAUACGUAAAAGCUCUGGUCUUAGGAAGAAGACGCCAAGCUAUAGCCCGUAUAUACUGUAUAUAAAACCUUGCAAUGAAUAGUAGAGGGCCGAGCCUAUACACUAUAGAUUAAUCCCAAGCCGAUACACUAUAGAUUAUUCCCUGGUAUAUAAAACCUUGCAAUGAAUAGUAGAGGAGAGGGCCAACCGCAAUGAAUAGUAUAGGGCCAAGCCGAUACACUAUAGAUUAUUCCCUGCCUGACCGAAAAGUCAAUGGAAGCCCCUUAUAUGCAUGAGGCCAUAGAGCUGCUCAUGAGGUUACUUAUAUCCCUUCGGCAACUUAUUAAUGACAUACACUGAAAAAAGGGAGAGCUUCAAGUAAAUAUUGAGCAGGCAUACCAGCUUGAAAGAAGUGCGGCGCCCUCUAAACCAUGUAGAUGCUUACGCUCGGCAGUGACAUUCGGCUGUAGAGUGUGAGGACAAGAAAGACGAUGUAGAAUGCCAUUUGUACGAAGGAAGAAAAGAGCUUAUCCUUGUUUCGAAACGACUUUUCCUAGGACCACGCAUACUAUUCUCCAACCGGAAGAGAGAAAGCCCCCGCCCCUCUGAAACUCAAUCAUAACUAGCCCAUUUCUUCCUCCAAUUCGUUCGUUCAAGUAGUAAACUUCUUUGACCUACUGGAAGUUUAGGAAAAAGGGAUUCUGUGUAACUUCCUUCCACGUAGCAGAGCAGUCGAUAGCAAGCGUCCAUGGAUCUAUUGGACUAUAACAAGCCGAUAGUAAUCUUUCUCUCCCGAACUACUGCCCUCAUUUGAGCAAAGACUUUUUAGCAUGAGUAACCGAUCGAAGGGAAGGAAGGGGAAAGGAGGAGUUUAUUUACCAUUUUCUAUGCCAUGUGCUCGAGAUAGGAUAUAUAUGCCAUUCUGACUUCUUGUAGAAAGUUCCAUUCUUCGAUUCUUACUUGUGCAGGUGAGGAGUGGAUUCCACAUAUAAAGAGAGAGAUUCCAAAUUCAUAUUGAGACUUUUGCGGGUAAGGCAGAGCUGAUAGAAUUCAUAUUGACUUUAGCAGAUAAGACGGAACUCUUAUAACUCUUGCAAGUAAACCUGUCAUUUCUCUUAGCGCUGAAGAAAAGAAGUCUUCUGAAGCAGAGUGACAGUGAAAAGUAGAGAGGCGUAGCUCGCGUUAGGAUAAUUUGAGGUUGAUUGAACACCUGGCCAAGUCGACAAGCAGACAAGCCGAUCCUGUUUUCGUAUCAGCCUUAGUCAGCUUCAUGAGCAAGUCUAUAAAUCUCCAGCCAUGUUAUUCCAGAGAAAAAGGAACUAGAACAGAGGCUAAACGUAGCUAAUGGGAAAUGCCCUAUGUUAACUCUUAUCGGCUAUAAUAAAGCAUUUUUGCCUAUAAAGAUAAGGAUUCCCUUUAACUGUACCUCUGAAAGCUGUAAUGACUCUUUCCUCUUCUUGUUGGCUUUCUGGAAUAAUAGCUAUUUCAUUAGGCGCAUAAAUUUACUGAAUGACGAAUCCCAUCUUGGGUAAAUUGGUCAUUGUCUCACUUCUCUCGGUAAAAUGAAAGAAAUGUGGCUUGCUCUCUCUCUCUUCGCUAAUGCCGAUGUAUAUAAGAGAAUUGGCUCUAUUCGUCAAAAGGUUGGUAGUUUGUUCAAAUCUUUUCAUUGGUUAAGCUUAUUGUCUAUUUAUCCCGAGGGGUUAGGUGGGUAA